AGGUGUGUCCAUGGCGGCGCUUGACCUGCGAGCGGAGCUGGAUUCGCUGCUCUUGCAGCUGCUUGGGGACCUGGAGGAGCUGGAGGGGAAACGAGCGGUGCUGAACGCCCGGGUGGAAGAGGUAGGCGCCUGGGGCGGGCAGGAGGGUACACGGGCGUAAACUGAGUCUCACCGCUCUCCUCUCCCUGCAGGGCUGGCUCUCGCUCGCCAAGUCCCGCUACGCGAUGGGCGCCAAGUCGGUGGGGCCCCUGCAGUAUGCUUCCUACAUGGAGCCCCAGGUCUGCCUCCACGCCAGGUGAGGAAGCUUCCAUGCUGGGCUGGGUGGGCGGGCGCUUUCUAGGCCCGGGCUGCCAAAGCUCCAUCCUCCCUUCUCGUCCUUCAGCGAGGCCCAGGAGGGACUCCAGAAGUUCAAGGUGGUGAGAGCUGGUGUCCACGCCCCAGAGGAGGGGGGGCCUCGCGAAGCAGGUGAGCCCCCUCUUCCUUCUGCAGAACCCCUUCCCAAUGUCAAAGACAAAAUGCAAAUUAUGGAGAUGAUUUAAAUUAGGUUUUUGCGAUAAGAGAGAGCAUCCCAGAGCUGAAGAACAGAAUGUUUUUGUAGGGUGGUUUUGCCUUAGACUUUUAUAGGAAGUAGAGAAAUUGUUGGUGAGUUGCUUUACACUGGGAAUAGUUUUACAAUCACAUAAGUUUCAGUCAGCUGAACAGAAAAUAUUCAUCUGUGUGUCUAGCUAGUUUCAGAGGGACAAACUUCUAAUCCCAGUUAAUCAUUCCUGAGACAAAGAAUGGGGAGUUGGAACGUCUAUGUCUGGUCUGUUGGCAUGUUCAGGCGCAAUGGGUAAGGUCAGUGUCACAGGCAAACAGGGUCAUCAGUGGGUCUUACAGGAGUCACGGGAAAGAGUGGACAAACAGUCUCAUCUGAAUCACAAGGGGAAAGGCUGUAUUUUGUGGUAAGCUGUUUCCCGGAACCCCAAAGUUGGAAUUUUCCAACCAACAGUGUUUUAUAGAAUCAUAAGCUCAGAUCAAGCUCAACAUUGUCACCAAGAUGAUAAAGGUCAGGGAGUAAGAUCCCAGCCUCCUCCAACCUUUCUUUCCUCAGCUCUGCGGAGGCGCAAGGGCCCCACUAAGACCCCAGAACCGGAGUCCUCUGAGGCCCCUCAGGACCCCCUGAACUGGUUUGGAAUCCUAGUUCCUCACAGUCUACGUCAGGCUCAAGCAAGCUUCCGGGAUGGUGAGUGGACUCUGUCGUUUGGCUCUGUGGCCCUCAGACCCUCUUUCCACAGGGAAUAGUUGAGCACUGCUGCCAUGGCUGGGGUUAGUCUAUGAAAGGCUUUGCAGGUUUUUCUCCAUCCAAACUUCCGUUGUACACCCAUUGUUUUUUCCAAAAGCAUUUACUGGUUGUUGGCAGCAUUCGGGUUCAUGCUAGCUGCUGGGGAUACAGCAGGGAACAAAAGAGACAAACACCUUUCAUGUAAUGUUUAGAGGCAGAGAAAGGCAAUGUGCAAAUAAGUAGGCCCUUAACAUAAGUCAGGCUGUGAAAAUUGUUAUGAAAAACACAUAAUGGAGUGGGACAGGAGUGGGCCAGGGGAGGUCUCUCUGAGGAGGUGAAGGAAAAGCUUUGUGGGUGAUUUUGGGAAACAGUGCUCUAGAUGGAGGAACCAGCCAGGACAAAAGCCCUGAAGCCAGCUAUAUCUGGUAUGUGCCGAGGCCGGUGGCCUAGAGUGGAGUCAGGUGACGUAAGCCCUGAUGAAGACUGUGGGAUCCACAGAGAGGCUCUGAGCAGAGGAUGGUGCAAUUGGCUGUGCAGGGUCACAGGAAUGCUUGGGUGCUGGGUGGGGACACAGAGCAGAGGGAGGAAGCAGGCGUCAGGGAGCAGCCAGUGUGAGAAGCAGAUAGCGUCACUGGAGGAGGAGGUAAGUGGUGGGAACCUGCACAGGUUUUAAGAAUAGAAGCCCCAGAAUUUGCUGACAGAUAAGAUAUGGGAGUAAGGGAAGGAAAGGAGUCCAGGAGAGCCCGCGGUCUCCACCUAGAACCCCUGGGAGGAUGGAGCGACCCUCACCCCCUGGGGGCAGCUGAGAGGAUUCCGGAAGGCAGGAGUUGGUGUGGUCUGUGUGGUGUCCACUGACGCCCUGCUGGAGAGUCUCAGUGGGCACUUGGGCACAUAUAUCUGGAGUUUGGGAGAGGCCUGGGCUGGAGAGAGAUUUGGGAGUCCACUGCAUAGCACUGGUGUUUAAAUCCCAAAGUUUUUGACACAAACACUGGUUUAAAGCUGAGAUAGGAUGAGAUCAGCAGAUGGCCUAGGGAGGUGAGGGAGAGGAGGCGAGAAGCCAGUCAAGGAAACUGAGGAGCAACACCUGGGGGCAGGUGUCCUGGAGGCCAGGAAGAGAAAGUGUUUCCUGGAGCGAGUGAUCCAAUGUGUGGUUAGCCCUGCUGCUGAAUAGGAGGCCGAAGACGAGAGCUGCCCGGAGGACUGGGCAGCAGCUGUUCCAGCAGAGACAUCAGUAAAAGCCAUCUAGAGGUGGAUCCAGAGUAUGGGCUAGCAGAGAAAAGAAGUGGAGGGAGAGCAGGCCUGCAGCUGGCCGCAGACAUAGCCAGCCUCCAGAACCGCAUUGACUGGGGUCGAAGCCAGCUCCGGGGACUCCAAGAAAAACUCAAGCAGCUGGAGCCUGGGGCUGCCUGACAUGCGUGCACAGAGGCAGGGCAGCGAGCACAGCUGUUCUCCGACAUGGCUAGUUGAUCUCAGGCCUUCUUCCUUCACAAAUAGCUCUUGCCCCUACCCCAUGCCAGCUGAUGCCCCGUCUGUGUCCCUGUUCUGCAUGUUUCCAUCUUCCUUAGGUGUGACGUUUGAAGAGGCAAACAGUAAUUUUGAAAGCCACUACUUUGAAACCAUUCCAAGGCCUGAGUUCCCAUAGGACACACUCACAUAGGCAGGUACACGUUAGUCAACAAUUGGAACUGCCUCUUGGAUCACUCAGCUGUGCUUUCAUGGCUGGAUGACGGAACACUGUACGAAGAGAGAUGGGUGGGGACAGGAAGUAGCGCUUCAUACUUAGUACAUCCUCCAAAUUGUCUUUGCUGGAGGAGAAAACCGUACUCAGCCGAAAGAUCAGGACAAUGACUUGAGUCCACAAGGACACAAACACAUGAGUAGCUGGGCAGCCCUUGGCAGGGUCUAAGCCAGGAAGUAAAAACCAUCUGGUCUAGAUUUUUAAGGGAACUCUAGGAAGAGACCUAGGUUUUUAAAAUCCUGUCUCUUUGUCUUGCCAUAAGAGGCUGAGCCUCUCUUCAUUUUUUUGAAGGGCCACUUGUGUUUUCUGUUCUGGGAACUUCCUUCAUUUUUCUACUGGGUUGUUGAUCUUUGCAAUAAUUUCUAGGAGCUGUUUAUGUUUGGAGGUAAUUGGUCCUUUGUCCAUAUAUAUGAGAUGUAAGUCUUAUUUUCCAGUUUAUCUUUUUGCUUAUGAUUUUUUUGACUUUUUAUUGUAAAAUAAAACAUUACAUCAGACUGCACAGAACAGUUGAAUAGCUUAAUGAAUAACUACAGUAAAAGCUAUGGUAACCACU
This 3555-nucleotide small RNA is filed under the name Pongo abelii (Sumatran orangutan). Its description in RNAcentral is "retained intron". The record is from RNAcentral. Lineage: Eukaryota; Metazoa; Chordata; Mammalia; Primates; Hominidae.